Small nucleolar RNA from Scophthalmus maximus (turbot), 70 nucleotides. Its record names the gene SNORD30. It matches the Rfam family "Small nucleolar RNA SNORD30". Rfam says of the family: U30 is a member of the C/D class of snoRNA which contain the C (UGAUGA) and D (CUGA) box motifs. U30 is encoded within the U22 snoRNA host gene (UHG) in mammals and is thought to act as a 2'-O-ribose methylation guide for ribosomal RNA. The record is from Ensembl. NCBI's taxonomy places the organism in Eukaryota, Metazoa, Chordata, Actinopteri, Pleuronectiformes, Scophthalmidae.
GAAAGUGAUGAUAUACAUUUGGAAUCUCGUUCGUCUGAACUCCUGUUGAGAAAUUCAAUUACUGACUUCU